UGGGGAAUAUUGCACAAUGGGCGCAAGCCUGAUGCAGCAACGCCGCGUGAGGGAUGACGGCCUUCGGGUUGUAAACCUCUUUUUAGUAGGGAAGAAGCGAAAGUGACGGUACCUGCAGAAAAAAGCACCGGCUAACUACGUGCCAGCAGCCGCGGUAAUACGUAGGGUGCGAGCGUUGUCCGGAAUUAUUGGGCGUAAAGAGCUCGUAGGCGGUCUGUCGCGUCUGCUGUGAAAACCCGAGGCUCAACCUCGGGCCUGCAGUGGGUACGGGCAGACUAGAGUGCGGUAGGGGAGAAUGGAAUUCCUGGUGUAGCGGUGGAAUGCGCAGAUAUCAGGAGGAACACCGAUGGCGAAGGCAGUUCUCUGGGCCGUAACUGACGCUGAGGAGCGAAAGCGUGGGGAGCGAACAGGAUUAGAUACCCUGGUAGUCCACGCCGUAAACGUUGGGCGCUAGAUGUGGGGACCAUUCCACGGUUUCCGUGUCGCAGCUAACGCAUUAAGCGCCCCGCCUGGGGAGUACGGCCGCAAGGCUAAAACU
Molecule: ribosomal RNA, 538 nt
Filed under: uncultured bacterium
Lineage: Bacteria
Description: partial 16S ribosomal RNA
Rfam family: Bacterial small subunit ribosomal RNA
Source: RNAcentral